GGAAGGGUCGCCUAGAGGCCGAUGGCGCGUGCUUGGAAAGCACGUAUACCGCAAGGUAUCGAGGGUUCGAAUCCCUCUCCUUCCGC
This 86-nucleotide transfer RNA is filed under the name Parcubacteria group bacterium ADurb.Bin316. Its description in RNAcentral is "tRNA-Ser". It matches the Rfam family "tRNA". From Rfam's summary of the family: Transfer RNA (tRNA) molecules are approximately 80 nucleotides in length. Their secondary structure includes four short double-helical elements and three loops (D, anti-codon, and T loops). The record is from RNAcentral.